GUGUUAUAGCCCUGGGGCGAUACAGUGGAGUGGACUGAGGUUUCGCAGUGUGUGCUCUCGGGCAAGGCUGACUGGGCGCUAUGGGAUCGUUCGGCGUACAAUGCAUGCAUUUUGCGUCGUGUCUUUUUCAUACUCGCUCAACUCGGCUCUUCCACACUUAGGAGGUUGACUUAAUGGUUUUAAACGA
RNAcentral lists this ribosomal RNA (187 nucleotides) under Linnemannia elongata. RNAcentral's name for it is "Mortierella elongata partial large subunit ribosomal RNA". The record is from RNAcentral. Lineage: Eukaryota; Fungi; Mortierellomycota; Mortierellomycetes; Mortierellales; Mortierellaceae.